Molecule: long non-coding RNA, 505 nt
Filed under: Zostera marina
Lineage: Eukaryota; Viridiplantae; Streptophyta; Magnoliopsida; Alismatales; Zosteraceae
Description: long non-coding RNA (ZMAR_LNC002504)
Source: RNAcentral
UUCCAACACAAUCACCACAAUUUGAUUAAGAAAAUGAUUACAAGCACACAAACAUAUACAUUAAUGAUACUUUUAAGUACUUAAUUAACUGAUGCAAAUCCAACUAACUAUAUAAUUAACUAACAAACUGAACACACUAAAUCAUCUAGCUAACACAUAACAUUACAGUUAAUGACCGAUACCGGGGCUGUGCCCCGGUGAGGUAGGUCGGUAAUUGUCGACCGUGAUGUUUUCGAUCUUCGUUUCCACCAGAAGCUUUUGUUCGCGAGCAUUAUCUUGUUUAAGCACUUGAUCACCAUGCUCAUUGAUCUGGGACGUCGCAACCGGUGGUGGUGGCAUAAUUACCAUUGAUGUCUUCUCUCCGGCCUCACUCAAUUGUCGUCCCUCUGAACCGGAAAACAGCUGAGCAAAGACGAUGAUCGAUGCUACGACGAGCAAAGCAAAUGCAUUAUAGCUCCUCAUUCUCAUAUGAUAUCAAGAUAGUGAUAGAUAGAUCGAACUAGCU